UGUUUUGUUCAGAAAUGCGUG
Caenorhabditis elegans is the source of this 21-nucleotide non-coding RNA. Lineage: Eukaryota; Metazoa; Nematoda; Chromadorea; Rhabditida; Rhabditidae. The record is from Ensembl.